UACGUAGGGUGCGAGCGUUAUCCGGAUUUACUGGGCAUAAAGCGCAUGUAGGCGGUUACUUAAGUCAGAUGUAAAAUGUUUCGGCUCAACCGAAGUAUGCAUUUGAAACUGGGUUUCUGGAGAUUGGUAGAGGAAAGCGGAACUCACGGUGUAGCGGUGAAAUGCGUAGAUAUCGUGAGGAACACCAGUUGCGAAGGCGGCUUUCUGGACCAAAUCUGACGCUGAGAUGCGAAAGCGUGGGGAGCAAACGGG
Molecule: ribosomal RNA, 252 nt
Filed under: uncultured bacterium
Lineage: Bacteria
Description: partial 16S ribosomal RNA
Rfam family: Bacterial small subunit ribosomal RNA
Source: RNAcentral